CAUAUCAAUAAGCGGAGGAAAAGAAACUAACAAGGAUUCCCCUAGUAACUGCGAGUGAAGCGGGAAAAGCUCAAAUUUAAAAUCUGGCGGUCUUUGGCCGUCCGAGUUGUAGUCUGGAGAAGCGUUUUCCGCGUUGGACCGUGUACAAGUCUCUUGGAACAGAGCGUCAUAGAGGGUGAGAAUCCCGUCUUUGACACGGACUACCAAUGCUUUGUGAUGCGCUCUCAAAGAGUCGCGUUGUUUGGGAAUGCAGCGCAAAAUGGGAGGUGAAUUCCUUCUAAAGCUAAAUAUUGGCGAGAGACCGAUAGCGAACAAGUACCGUGAGGGAAAGAUGAAAAGCACUUUGGAAAGAGAGUUAAACAGUACGUGAAAUUGCUGAAAGGGAAACGCUUGAAGUCAGUCGCGUCGUCCGGAACUCAGCCUUGCUUCGGCUUGGUGCACUUUCCGGAUGACGGGCCAGCAUCGAUUUUGACCGCUGGAAAAGGGCUGGAGGAAUGUGGCACCUUCGGGUGUGUUAUAGCCUUCAGUCGCAUACAGCGGUUGGGAUCGAGGAACGCAGCACGCCUUAUGGCUGGGGUUCGCCCACAUUCGUGCUUAGGAUGCUGGCAUAAUGGCUUUAAACGACCCGUCUUGAAACACGGACCAAGGAGUCUAACAUGCCUGCGAGUGUUUGGGUGGAAAACCCGAGCGCGUAAUGAAAGUGAAAGUUGAGACCUCUGUCGUGGAGGGCAUCGACGCCCGGACCUGAAGUUUUCUGACGGAUCCGCGGUAGAGCAUGUAUGUUGGGACCCGAAAGAUGGUGAACUAUGCCUGAAUAGGGUGAAGCCAGAGGAAACUCUGGUGGAGGCUCGUAGCGAUUCUGACGUGCAAAUCGAUCGUCAAAUUUGGGUAUAGGGGCGAAAGACUAAUCGAACCAUCUAGUAGCUGGUUCCUGCCGA
This 938-nucleotide ribosomal RNA is filed under the name Trametes hirsuta. Its description in RNAcentral is "eukaryotic LSU rRNA". It matches the Rfam family "Eukaryotic large subunit ribosomal RNA", at positions 39 to 964 of the family's 3401-position model. Lineage: Eukaryota; Fungi; Basidiomycota; Agaricomycetes; Polyporales; Polyporaceae. The record is from RNAcentral.